Molecule: ribosomal RNA, 433 nt
Filed under: uncultured bacterium
Lineage: Bacteria
Description: partial 16S ribosomal RNA
Rfam family: Bacterial small subunit ribosomal RNA
Source: RNAcentral
AGCGAACGCUGGCGGCAGGCCUAACACAUGCAAGUCGAACGGAUCCUUCGGGAUUAGUGGCGGACGGGUGAGUAACACGUGGGAACGUGCCCUUUGGUUCGGAACAACUCAGGGAAACUUGAGCUAAUACCGGAUGUGCCCUUCGGGGGAAAGAUUUAUCGCCAUUGGAGCGGCCCGCGUCUGAUUAGCUAGUUGGUGAGGUAACGGCCCACCAAGGCGACGAUCAGUAGCUAGUCUGAGAGGAUGAUCAGCCACACUGGGACUGAGACACGGCCCAGACUCCUACGGGAGGCAGCAGUGGGGAAUCUUGCGCAAUGGGCGAAAGCCUGACGCAGCCAUGCCGCGUGAAUGAUGAAGGUCUUAGGAUUGUAAAAUUCUUUCAGCGGGGACGAUAAUGACGGUACCCGCAGAAGAAGCUCCGGCUAACUUCGUG